This 1477-nucleotide ribosomal RNA is filed under the name metagenome. RNAcentral describes it as "bacterial SSU rRNA". It matches the Rfam family "Bacterial small subunit ribosomal RNA". The record is from RNAcentral.
AGAGUUUGAUCCUGGCUCAGGAUGAACGCUGGCGGCGUGCUUAACACAUGCAAGUCGAACGAAGCACCUUGAUUUGAUUUUUCGGAUGAAGAUCCUGGUGACUGAGUGGCGGACGGGUGAGUAACGCGUGGGUAACCUGCCUCAUACAGGGGGAUAACAGUUAGAAAUGACUGCUAAUACCGCAUAAGACCACAGCACCGCAUGGUGCAGGGGUAAAAACUCCGGUGGUAUGAGAUGGACCCGCGUCUGAUUAGGUAGUUGGUGGGGUAACGGCCUACCAAGCCGACGAUCAGUAGCCGACCUGAGAGGGUGACCGGCCACAUUGGGACUGAGACACGGCCCAAACUCCUACGGGAGGCAGCAGUGGGGAAUAUUGCACAAUGGGGGAAACCCUGAUGCAGCGACGCCGCGUGAGCGAUGAAGUAUUUCGGUAUGUAAAGCUCUAUCAGCAGGGAAGAAAAUGACGGUACCUGACUAAGAAGCACCGGCUAAAUACGUGCCAGCAGCCGCGGUAAUACGUAUGGUGCAAGCGUUAUCCGGAUUUACUGGGUGUAAAGGGAGCGUAGACGGAGUGGCAAGUCUGAUGUGAAAACCCGGGGCUCAACCCCGGGACUGCAUUGGAAACUGUCAAUCUAGAGUACCGGAGAGGCAAGCGGAAUUCCUAGUGUAGCGGUGAAAUGCGUAGAUAUUAGGAGGAACACCAGUGGCGAAGGCGGCUUACUGGACGGUAACUGACGUUGAGGCUCGAAAGCGUGGGGAGCAAACAGGAUUAGAUACCCUGGUAGUCCGCACGGUAAACGAUGGAUGCCCGCUGUUGGUCUGAACGGGUCAGCGGCCAAGCGAAAGCAUUAAGCAUCCCACCUGGGGAGUACGCCGGCAACGGUGAAACUCAAAGGAAUUGACGGGGGCCCGCACAAGCGGAGGGACAUGUGGUUUAAUUCGAUGAUACGCGAGGAACCUUACCCGGGCUUGAAUUGCAGAGGAAGGAUUUGGAGACAAUGACGCCCUUCGGGGUCUCUGUGAAGGUGCUGCAUGGUUGUCGUCAGCUCGUGCCGUGAGGUGUCGGCUUAAGUGCCAUAACGGGCGCAACCCCUCUCCUUAGUUGCCAUCAGGUUAAGCUGGGCACUCUGGGGACACUGCCACCGUAAGGUGUGAGGAAGGUGGGGAUGACGUCAAAUCAGCACGGCCCUUACGUCCGGGGCUACACACGUGUUACAAUGGCAGGUACAGAGAGACGGUUGUACGUAAGUACGAUCAAAUCCUUAAAGCCUGUCUCAGUUCGGACUGGGGUCUGCAACCCGACCCCACGAAGCUGGAUUCGCUAGUAAUCGCGCAUCAGCCAUGGCGCGGUGAAUACGUUCCCGGGCCUUGUACACACCGCCCGUCAAGCCAUGAAAGCCGGGGGCGCCUAAAGUCCGUGACCGUAAGGAGCGGCCUAGGGCGAAACUGGUAAUUGGGGCUAAGUCGUAACAAGGUA